Molecule: long non-coding RNA, 591 nt
Organism: Mauremys reevesii (Reeves's turtle)
Lineage: Eukaryota; Metazoa; Chordata; Testudines; Geoemydidae
Exons: 3
Source: RefSeq, a predicted model, not a curated record
UCCACAUCCAGAAGUUUCUGGAACUGGGUCUGGUGGUUUGGGGUAUACUCAGUAGGUUCCCUGUUGCCGGACUCAGACUCCAUGAGGGCAAGGAGGCAGGGCAGCUGCUUUUCAGAAGGCCACAUGCACUGUGUGGAUUGGGAGAAGCUGAGCCCAGGGAGCAGAAAGCAGGCUGUUGUCCCUAACUCUGAUGUAUUUUGCAGCAGGGAUUUUUUAAAAAUCUGCAUACUUAACUGAGUGGUUAGUUAAUUGGUUAGCUGACUAGCUAACUGAGUGAUGUCAGCAGAGGAAGAGGAAGAGUCUGCAUGCAGUCCAGCUGAAAUUUUCUACAAGGAAGCAGAAGAAAGAUGUUAUUUUUGACUCAGCACAGCAGACUGGAUAGAUCUGGUGACCAAAGACUAAACUUGACUGCAGGGAGGCUGACCCUGUGGAAUUCUUGCUGAAAAUCUUGUUUGACUGAAUUCUGAGUCUCCAGAUGCUUUGCUAUGGGAGUUGGGUUUUUAGGCAUUGGAGGAGGGCACUGAUGUAAACUAGCCCAUCCAAAAGUUACACUGUACCCUAAGAAUUCAAACUCUAUGAAUUGUAUGGAGG